UGCAAGUCGAACGGCAGCACGGGGGCAACCCUGGUGGCGAGUGGCGAACGGGUGAGUAAUACAUCGGAACGUGCCCUGAAGUGGGGGAUAACGUAGCGAAAGUUACGCUAAUACCGCAUAUUCUGUGAGCAGGAAAGCAGGGGAUCGCAAGACCUUGCGCUUUAGGAGCGGCCGAUGUCGGAUUAGCUAGUUGGCGGGGUAAAGGCCCACCAAGGCGACGAUCCGUAGCGGGUCUGAGAGGAUGAUCCGCCACACUGGGACUGAGACACGGCCCAGACUCCUACGGGAGGCAGCAGUGGGGAAUUUUGGACAAUGGGCGCAAGCCUGAUCCAGCCAUGCCGCGUGAGUGAAGAAGGCCUUCGGGUUGUAAAGCUCUUUCGGCGGGGAAGAAAUCGCACUGGUUAAUACCUAGUGUGGAUGACGGUACCCGAAUAAGAAGCACCGGCUAACUACGUGCCAGCAGCCGCGGUAAUACGUAGGGUGCAAGCGUUAAUCGGAAUUACUGGGCGUAAAGCGUGCGCAGGCGGUUAUGUAAGACAGGUGUGAAAUCCCCGGGCUUAACCUGGGAAUGGCAUUUGUGACUGCAUGGCUAGAGUGUGUCAGAGGGGGGUAGAAUUCCACGUGUAGCAGUGAAAUGCGUAGAUAUGUGGAGGAAUACCGAUGGCGAAGGCAGCCCCCUGGGAUAACA
This 688-nucleotide ribosomal RNA is filed under the name uncultured soil bacterium. RNAcentral describes it as "bacterial SSU rRNA". It matches the Rfam family "Bacterial small subunit ribosomal RNA", at positions 56 to 739 of the family's 1533-position model. The record is from RNAcentral.